RNAcentral lists this ribosomal RNA (423 nucleotides) under uncultured Acholeplasma sp. RNAcentral's name for it is "bacterial SSU rRNA". It matches the Rfam family "Bacterial small subunit ribosomal RNA", at positions 954 to 1382 of the family's 1533-position model. Lineage: Bacteria; Bacillati; Mycoplasmatota; Mollicutes; Acholeplasmatales; Acholeplasmataceae. The record is from RNAcentral.
ACGAUACGCGAAGAACCUUACCAGGUCUUGACAUUCCCUGCAAAGCUAUGGAGACAUAGUGGAGGUUAUCAGGGAGACAGGUGGUGCAUGGUUGUCGUCAGCUCGUGUCGUGAGAUGUUGGGUUAAGUCCCGCAACGAGCGCAACCCUUAUUGCUAGUUACCAUCAUUAAGUUGGGGACUCUAGCGAGACUGCCAGUGAUAAACUGGAGGAAGGUGGGGAUGACGUCAAAUCAUCAUGCCCCUUAUGACCUGGGCUACAAACGUGAUACAAUGGCUGAAACAAAGGGCAGCGAAGGAGCGAUCUGGAGCGAAACCCAAAAAAGCAGUCUCAGUUCGGAUUGAAGUCUGCAACUCGACUUCAUGAAGUCGGAAUCGCUAGUAAUCGCGGAUCAGAACGCCGCGGUGAAUACGUUCUCGGGGUUU